Molecule: long non-coding RNA, 3497 nt
Filed under: Gossypium barbadense (sea-island cotton)
Lineage: Eukaryota; Viridiplantae; Streptophyta; Magnoliopsida; Malvales; Malvaceae
Description: long non-coding RNA (GBAR_LNC015328)
Source: RNAcentral
AACCAUACAAUUUAGGAGAAAAACAAAACACUCAUCAUAAAUGGGGAAUGACAAGCUCUAUUAACACAGCAAAGGCUUUAACCUCAGCAUCAAUAGAAAUAUAGAAUAUAAUGAUGUUGACAAUUGGCUUUGUCACAACUCAGGCACGACAUAUCUAAAGUGACUACAAACACUUAACACGAUAUGAAAAUCAACCCUGAAUGGUCCAAAGAAUUGAACAAAAAUCGACAAAAAAAUCGAGCAUUCAUCAAACUAUAGAGGACGACAACAAAACUAUCCCUAAAAUCAUUUGUAAAACUAAGAUUAUGUGAAUAAGCAAUACUAAAAACCGUACUACAAGAACAGACAAAAACUUCUAAAAUUGAAGACUUAUUAAACAUUGGAAAAACAAACAGCAACAAAAAAACAUAUAAAACUUAAGACAACACAAGUCCAAAUUGACUCGUGAAAUCAUUUAUUAUUUUGAAAUAUUCUCAAAACACAUAUUAAAAAACUGACGAAGAGCCAUCCACUUUCCAAGAAAAACUACUGGUGACCGGUGAAAUUUUAGCGAAUGACAGGAAUCGUCUUCUAUUUAUCAUAACUUGUAAAGGCAACAAAAAUACCUACAAAAUAGAUUCUCAAACUAAAAAAGAGAAAAGACGUGUGAAGUAAAUGAGAAGAAGAAAGAAAGAAAGAGUUAAUGGGAGAGGAAAAAAGUGAGAGUGAUAGCCAACCCGAAAACAGACACCAUCAUCACUGAGCAAAACAAAGAUAAAACACAAACCGCUUCCAAAAAUGUCAUUUUCUUUUGUAAAUUCGCAUGGCUUUUUUUUUUCUUUCAUUUAAAAUUCUAUAUUUAUAAAUGAAAGGAAGUUACCUUCCCUGUCUAUAUAGUAACUACCAGGGACAGUUUUUUCUAUAUAUAACUUCCAUUUUUGAAUGUCUUUUUUAUAACUACCAAAUACCAAUCGGUAAUUUUAUUAUAAUUUCAAAUGGAUCCGACCUAACUUUGAUUAUAUCCCAAUGAAUCCAACAUUGAAGUUGGUUAUUUUUUAGCAAAUCAGAUAUGUCCUUGAAAGAUACAGAUUGUAAGAGGGCCAAUUAUAGUAAUGAGAAAUUAGAUAUUUUAAAAUAUGUAUUGGGAUCAAAAUAAAUUCAUGUUUAUGUGUUUAUGUUAUUUCUAUCUUUCAAAUAUUUAUAAAUUUAUGUAAGUUUUAAGCGUUAAUAAAUUAUGGGUAAAGUACCUAUUUAGUCAUCUAAGUUUAUCCGUGUUCUUAUUUUGGUCACCCAUUUCAAAAAUUUGUUAUUUUAGUCAUUUCCGUUAGAUAGGUUGUCAAUUUUAGUCACUCCUAUUAGAUAAGUUAUCAAUUUUAGUAGCUUCACCGUUAAAUGCCUUUGGUCACCAAACAAAAUGCUGACGUGUUUGUCUUUUGAUUGGUAUAAUAAUAAAUUUAGCCCUUAACACUUUGCAUAUUUUAUCAAUUUGGUCCUAAUUAUAAAUUUUUUAAAUAAAUUUAACCCUCAAUAUUUGUACACUUUGCAUAUUUUACAGAAUUGUUGUAUUAUUUUUUCUGAUUUGGCACGUGUAUGGAAUAGGUCCGAUAAAUCAUUAGAACGUAAGUAAUAUAAUUAAGAUAAUAACAGUAUUUUUAUAAUAUGUCAAUUAAUUAGUUUAGCUUAGUUGGUUAAGAUGCUUGCUCUUUUACCUUAGUACCUUGGUUCAAAUCUUGUUGGUAAUAAUUUUAAAUCUUUUUUGUACUUGUUGCAUUUAUUUUUUUAAUCAAUUAACUGGGCCCAUUUCGGUAAAUUUUAAAAAAAUAGGGCUUUUUAGGUAUUUUACCCAGUUAAUUGAUUAAAAAAAUAAAUGCAACAAAUACAAAAAAAAAUUCAAAUAAAUGCAAUAAUUCUGUAAAAAAAAUCCGGUGUUUACUUCAAAUAAAUAAGGAAAAUAAUGAUUUGAAUGUUUCAAAAUUCAAUUUUAAACCGAAAAAAUUAAAAUUUAGAGGUAAGAAAGGAUCUUUUUCGACAAAAACUGCGGCAAACCACCUUCUGCUGUUUGUCAGCGAGUAGAUCUUGAAAAGUUAUUCGAAAUAAAAAAAAUCGUCUCAAUCGGACAACCAAGCGAAAAGUUAUGGCUUUUCAAAGUUUUCCAAACUAAAAAACAUAAACUGUUCAUCCCACGUUAGCAAAUCGCGUUCUAGAGGGAGCGAUUUGCUUCCACGUCAGCAACUCGCGCUGACGUGGGCGCGAUUUCCUAGCACGUACCCUGACAUCGCCCUGACGUGGACGCGAUUUCGCGGAAAAUGGACAAUUCCGGUAAAUAAUUAAAUAAUGGGCCCAUUUCAGUAAUUUUUGAAAAAAAGGGCUUUUAUUGGUAAAUUGCCCAAAGUUUUAUAAUCUAAUUAUAUAUUUUUUUAAUAUUUAUAUUUUUUCUUUUUAUAAUAAAUAAUAUAUGUAUUCAAGUUCUUAAAAUUACAACUUUUUAGAAUUUGGAUUAAAUUGACAAAAUGUGUAAACAUUGAGGGUUAAAUUUGCUAAUUUUUUUUAGAAUUAGGACCAAUUUGAUAGAAUAUGCAAAGUGUUAAGGGAUAAAUUUGUUAGUAUGCCAAUCAAAAGACUUCCGUGUCAGCAUUUCGUCUAAUGACCAAAAGCAUUUAAUGAUAGAGUGACUAAAAUUGACAACUUAUUUAACUGAAGAGACUAAAAUAACUUAUUUUUUAAAUGGAUACCAAAAUAAAAAUACUGGUAAACUUGAGUGACUAAAUAGAUAGUUUACCCAUAAUUUAUUCAUGCUGAUGUUUCCAUUUUUGUGUAUCUAUGAUACUGAAAUUUUUUUUUGCUUAUGUUCGUGUUUUUUUUUUGUAUUCAUGGUAUUAUAGAUGUAAACCUUUCCAUUUUGAUGAAUAGGUUAGUGUCCUCAAAAAUGACAAUUCGAAAAUUUAUUUUGGAGGAGCUGAUUCCCCUUAACAAUAAAUGGGUUAGGGUAUAUGAUACCACUUGAGCUGCGUAUCUCAAGUGGUACCAUAUACCCCAACAUGUGACCUAUAUACCAAAUAUUAGAGGUUUGAAUCUCAUUAAGGUUGAGACACUUACGUUGUAUCUUGGCGGGUGGCCAUAUGUUCAUUUACUAUCGAGGUGCCCUCUCUGUGAAUCGCAAACGGCUUGUCGCCCGGGGGUUCAAAAUCCACCCAGGGAACAAUAUAUUCCAUUGUUGAGGGAUUAGAUUGGCGUCCCCGAUGAUGACACUUCAAAAACUUUUCUCGAAUGAGCCAAUCCUCCCUUACAAUAAAAACCUAUACGAGGACAUAUGGUCGAGGCGCCCCCUCCAUGAAUUGUACACGGCUCUCCAUAAAGGGAGACAAAACCUUCCCUUAAUGAAUAAUACCUUUCAUUGUUGAGGGAUCAUGUUGACAUCGCCGAAAACGACACAUCAAAUAUUUCUUCCGGAAGAGCAAAUCCCCUUCAUCGAUUAUGAAAUUUUUUAAACCUUUAUGUUUCACUUAGUAAUACAUUUU